AGCCUAACACAUGCAAGUCGAACGGACAAUUAUUUAUAGCCUCUGGCUAUAGGAAAUUGUUAGUGGCAGACGGGUGAGUAAUGCGUAGGAAUCUACCUAGUAGUACGGAAUAGCCAUUAGAAAUGGUGGGUAAUACUGUAUAAUCCCCGAGGGGGAAAGAUUUAUCGCUAUUAGAUGAGCCUACGUUAGAUUAGCUAGUUGGUGAGGUAAUGGCUUACCAAGGCUAUGAUCUAUAGCUGGUCUGAGAGGACGAUCAGCCACACUGGAACUGAGAUACGGUCCAGACUCCUACGGGAGGCAGCAGUGGGGAAUAUUGGACAAUGGGCGAAAGCCUGAUCCAGCUAUGCCGCGUGAGUGAAGAAGGCCUUCGGGUUGUAAAACUCUUUCAAUAGGGAAGAUAAUGACGGUACCUAUAGAAGAAGUCCCGGCAAACU
This 434-nucleotide ribosomal RNA is filed under the name Ehrlichia canis. RNAcentral's name for it is "bacterial SSU rRNA". It matches the Rfam family "Bacterial small subunit ribosomal RNA", at positions 45 to 502 of the family's 1533-position model. The record is from RNAcentral. Lineage: Bacteria; Pseudomonadati; Pseudomonadota; Alphaproteobacteria; Rickettsiales; Anaplasmataceae.